GCGAGUCUGAAUAGGGCGCAUAAGUAACAGGUCGUAGACCCGAAACCAGGUGAUCUACCCAUGUCCAGGAUGAAGGUAAGGUAAUACUUACUGGAGGUCCGAACCCACGCACGUUGAAAAGUGCGGGGAUGAGGUGUGGGUAGCGGAGAAAUUCCAAUCGAACUUGGAGAUAGCUGGUUCUCUCCGAAAUAGCUUUAGGGCUAGCCUCGAGGUAAAGAGUCAUGGAGGUAGAGCACUGUUUGGACUAGGGGCCCUUCUCGGGUUACCGAAUUCAGAUAAACUCCGAAUGCCAUGUACUUAUACUCGGGAGUCAGACUGCGAGUGAUAAGAUCCGUAGUCGAAAGGGAAACAGCCCAGACCACCAGUUAAGGUCCCCAAAUAUAUGUUAAGUGGAAAAGGAUGUGGGGUUGCUUAGACAACCAGGAUGUUGGCUUAGAAGCAGCCACCAUUGAAAGAGUGCGUAAUAGCUCACUGGUCGAGUGACCCCGCGCCGAAAAUGUACCGGGGCUAAACAUAUUACCGAAACUGUGGAUGAACCUCUUCGGAGGUUCGUGGUAGGAGAGCGUUCUAAGGGCGGUGAAGUCAGACCGGAAGGACUGGUGGAGCGCUUAGAAGUGAGAAUGCCGGUAUGAGUAGCGAAAGAAGGGUGAGAAUCCCUUCCACCGAAUAUCUAAGGUUUCCUGAGGAAGGCUCGUCCGCUCAGGGUUAGUCGGGACCUAAGCCGAGGCCGAUAGGCGUAGGCGAUGGACAACAGGUAGAGAUUCCUGUACCAGUGCUAAUUGUUUAACCGAUGGGGUGACACAGAAGGAUAGGGAAUCGCACGAAUGGAAAUGUGCGUCCAAGCAGUGAGUGUGAGAAGUAGGCAAAUCCGCUUCUUGCGAAGCAUGAGCUGUGAUGGGGAAGGAAAUUAAGUACGGAAGUUCCUGAUUUCACGCUGUCAAGAAAAGCCUCUAGGAAGAGUAGUACUGCCCGUACCGCAAACCGACACAGGUAGAUGAGGAGAGAAUCCUAAGGUGAGCGAGAGAACUCUCGUUAAGGAACUCGGCAAAAUGACCCCGUAACUUCGGGAGAAGGGGUGCUCUAUUAGGGUGCAAGCCCGAGAGAGCCGCAGUGAAUAGGCCCAGGCGACUGUUUAGCAAAAACACAGGUCUCUGCAAAACCGUAAGGUGACGUAUAGGGGCUGACGCCUGCCCGGUGCUGGAAGGUUAAGAGGAGUGCUUAGCUUCGGCGAAGGUACGAAUUGAAGCCCCAGUAAACGGCGGCCGUAACUAUAACGGUCCUAAGGUAGCGAAAUUCCUUGUCGGGUAAGUUCCGACCCGCACGAAAGGCGCAACGAUCUGGGCACUGUCUCAACGAGAGACUCGGUGAAAUUAUAGUACCUGUGAAGAUGCAGGUUACCCGCGACAGGACGGAAAGACCCCGUGGAGCUUUACUGCAACCUGAUAUGGAAUGUUUGUACCGCUUGUACAGGAUAGGUAGGAGCCGAAGAGACGUGUGCGCUAGCAUACGAGGAGGCAAUGGUGGGAUACUACCCUGGCUGUAUGACCAUUCUAACCCGCCACGCUAAGCGCGUGGGGAGACAGUGUCAGGUGGGCAGUUUGACUGGGGCGGUCGCCUCCUAAAGAGUAACGGAGGCGCCCAAAGGUUCCCUCAGAAUGGAUGGAAAUCAUUCGCAGAGUGUAAAGGCACAAGGGAGCUUGACUGCGAGACUGACAAGUCGAGCAGGGACGAAAGUCGGGCUUAGUGAUCCGGUGGUUCCGCAUGGAAGGGCCAUCGCUCAACGGAUAAAAGCUACCCCGGGGAUAACAGGCUUAUCUCCCCCAAGAGUCCACAUCGACGGGGAGGUUUGGCACCUCGAUGUCGGCUCGUCGCAUCCUGGGGCUGUAGUCGGUCCCAAGGGUUGGGCUGUUCGCCCAUUAAAGCGGCACGCGAGCUGGGUUCAGAACGUCGUGAGACAGUUCGGUCCCUAUCCGUCGCGGGCGCAGGAAAUUUGAGAGGAGCUGUCCUUAGUACGAGAGGACCGGGAUGGACACACCGCUGGUGUACCAGUUGUUCCGCCAGGAGCAUCGCUGGGUAGCUAUGUGUGGCAGGGAUAAACGCUGAAAGCAUCUAAGCGUGAAGCCCCCCUCAAGAUGAGAUUUCCCAUUUCUUCGGAAAGUAAGAUCCCUGAAAGAUGAUCAGGUAGAUAGGUUUGGAGUGGAAGUGUAGCGAUACAUGGAGCGGACAAAUACUAAUCGAUCGA
RNAcentral lists this ribosomal RNA (2242 nucleotides) under Listeria innocua. RNAcentral describes it as "partial 23S ribosomal RNA". It matches the Rfam family "Bacterial large subunit ribosomal RNA", at positions 677 to 2912 of the family's 2925-position model. Lineage: Bacteria; Bacillati; Bacillota; Bacilli; Caryophanales; Listeriaceae. The record is from RNAcentral.